RNAcentral lists this unclassified non-coding RNA (400 nucleotides) under uncultured fungus. RNAcentral describes it as "sequence contains ITS1". The stretch from base 1 to 105 matches the Rfam family "5.8S ribosomal RNA", at positions 50 to 154 of the family's 154-position model. Lineage: Eukaryota; Fungi. The record is from RNAcentral.
GAAAUGCGAUACGUAAUGUGAAUUGCAGAAUUCAGUGAAUCAUCGAAUCUUUGAACGCAUAUUGCGCUCUUUGGUAUUCCGAAGAGCAUGCUUGUUUGAGUAUCAGUAAACACCUCAAAGCUUUCAAUUUUUUUUUGAAAGGUUUGGACUUGAGCAAUCCCAACACCAGUCUGUUUUUUUUUCAGACCAGUGGCGGGUUGCUUGAAAUGCAGGUGCAGCUGGACAUUCUCCUGAGCUAUAAGCAUAUUUAUUUAGUCCCGUCAAACGGAUUAUUACUUUUGCUGCAGCUAACAUAAAGGGAGUUUGACCAUUUUGGCUGACUGAUGCAGGAUUUAACAAGAGGGGCUGGCAACAGUCUUUUUUUUGUAAAACUCGAUCUCAAAUCAAGUAAGACUACCCG